AUUGAACGCUGGCGGCAGGCCUAACACAUGCAAGUCGAGCGGAGCGGCGGACGGGUGAGGAAUGCCUAGGAAUCUGCCUGGGAGUGGGGGAUAACGUCCGGAGACGGGCGAUAAUGCCGCAUACCAUCAGUGCAGCCUAGGUUGGCUUAGCUAGUUGGGGGGGUAAAGGCCUACCAAGGCGACGAUCCGUAACUGGUCCGAGAGGAUGAUCAGUCAGACUGGAACUGAGACACGGUCCAGACUCCUACGGGAGGCAGCAGUGGGGAAUAUUGGACAAUGGGCGAAAGCCUGAUCCAGCCAUGCCGCGUGAGUGAAGAAGGUUUUCGGAUUGUAAAGCACUGUAAUUUGGGAGGCGUUACCAACCGAAUAAGCACCGGCUAACUUCGUGCCAGCAGCCGCGGUAAUUC
RNAcentral lists this ribosomal RNA (407 nucleotides) under uncultured bacterium. RNAcentral's name for it is "partial 16S ribosomal RNA". It matches the Rfam family "Bacterial small subunit ribosomal RNA", at positions 30 to 526 of the family's 1533-position model. The record is from RNAcentral.